GUGAAGUUAUCAGGAGCUCUAGUCACAGUGAUAAUGAGCCGAACCGUCUAGGAGAAGUUCAUUCAAAAAGUAGACAUGUAUGGAACAUGCAUGUUACGUGUAUAGUUUUCUUUAAACAGAAGGAGAUACUGUGUGUAUUCUUUUGGACUUGUGGCACCAGAACUUGGUCUCACAUCUGCUGGGCAGUACUCUUUCAGAGUUAGGCCCUCCCACAUCACCCAACCUAGAAAACCUGAAAUUUAUCCAAGGUAGAAAUUAAAAAAGAAAAGGCAGCUUUACCAGUUGUUAGAUCCGUAGUCUAAGACAGUGGUACACUUAACAGUUACCCUUCACAGAGCCACAGUCACACAGAAAAUACUGGCUUCUUAGACUCUCAUUUCACACAGGAGCAACAAAUAGGCAGUACAAACCGGAAGGGAACCCCACAGAAAUCAUCACUCACAAGGAACCUUAAGUUUUUAAUAACCUACUCCCCUUGAACCUCAAGGUUCGAGAUCCAACCAAGUGUCACUUGUUAUCCCUGAUGGGCAGCAUAGUUCUGUUGUGAUUCUGCAGUCUUUCAGGACUGUGCUUUUAGCUCUCAGAUGGCCUUACAGUGGGAUCAGAUGGUCCCUUUCCUCGGAUGUGACCCCCCCUGAGGUUUCCACUGCUCCAAUAAUGCCUGAGUGAAUGCGAAGUGUUUGCACGUUCCUUAGUUAUCAGAAGGUGUGAUUUUAUGCUGUUUUUAUUCUCUUAUUUUAACUAUAGCACAUCAAAGUGUUGCCUGCAGUUAUCUUUGAUAGUAUCAUGUGAGGCUUUUUUAAAAAAAGGUUUGAUUUUAAAUUAUGUGUAUAUGAGGUAAGGGUAUGUGUAUGGGAGUGCAGGUUCCACAAGGAGGCAUCAGGUUCCCCUAGAGUUGAAAGUGAUUGUGAGCCUCCACGUGGGUGCUAGGAACCAAAGCAGGUCCUCUGAAAGACCGGUGCCUACCCAACCUCUGAGCCAUCUCUAGCCCCAAUAUUAUUAUUUAGUUUUCAGACUUUUUGUUUCUUUCAAAUGCUUUACAAUAGGUUGUUUGUUUUUACAUAGCUACCGUGCUAUUUUAAAUAGAGCCAUGAACUUGAUCAACAUCAAGUUCACAUCAUCACAGUGAUUAUCUAUAUAAUUCACCUGUGGGGUAAGGGGUCAUCCACUUCCUCAUCCCAGGCAUUUGCCCUUUGGGUUGUUGCCCACAUUUUCAAGGUCCAUGGAGGAGACCUACCUGUAUCUGUGAUUGGGCCCCUGAGGAAGUGACUAGCACGUGAUGCUGGUCCACCCUGCGAAUCUUCCCCCACCACCUUGAUCAGCAGUGACACCUACGGGGAUGCUGUCUGGUUUAGGCCCCCAGAAAGGCUGUGCUCUCUGCCAGGAGGCCAAAAGGAGCAGGGAAUGGUUUCAUUGGCAGUGCCAGUGUGCUGCCCUGAGCUUGGCCCACAGGAGUAAUUUUAACAACUUUGGCUCACAGAACUGAGCCUGCAGAGCAAAAGAAAAGCAAGCAAACAGGC
Molecule: long non-coding RNA, 1520 nt
Filed under: Mus musculus (house mouse)
Lineage: Eukaryota; Metazoa; Chordata; Mammalia; Rodentia; Muridae
Description: long non-coding RNA chr2:129604613-129606133
Source: RNAcentral